UAAGUCAGAGCUUGAGAAAGCAUUUUAGUUACAUUAAAAAGAUAUUGUUAAAUCAAUUGACUUAA
RNAcentral lists this transfer RNA (65 nucleotides) under Urodontus sp. URO01. RNAcentral describes it as "tRNA-Val". Lineage: Eukaryota; Metazoa; Arthropoda; Insecta; Coleoptera; Anthribidae. The record is from RNAcentral.